Molecule: transfer RNA, 76 nt
Filed under: Chloroflexota bacterium
Lineage: Bacteria; Bacillati; Chloroflexota
Description: Chloroflexi bacterium (groundwater metagenome) tRNA-Trp
Rfam family: tRNA
About the family: Transfer RNA (tRNA) molecules are approximately 80 nucleotides in length. Their secondary structure includes four short double-helical elements and three loops (D, anti-codon, and T loops).
Source: RNAcentral
AGGGGUGUAGCUCAGUUGGUAUAGCAGCGGUCUCCAAAACCGCAGGUCGAGGGUUCGAAUCCUUCCGCCCCUGCCA